AACGAACGCUGGCGGCAUGCCUAACACAUGCAAGUCGAACGAGACCUUCGGGUCUAGUGGCGCACGGGUGCGUAACGCGUGGGAACCUGCCCUUAGGUUCGGAAUAACUCCCCGAAAGGGGUGCUAAUACCGGAUAAUGUCUUCGGACCAAAGAUUUAUCGCCUUUGGAUGGGCCCGCGUUGGAUUAGCUAGUUGGUAGGGUAAAGGCCUACCAAGGCGACGAUCCAUAGCUGGUCUGAGAGGAUGAUCAGCCACACUGGGACUGAGACACGGCCCAGACUCCUACGGGAGGCAGCAGUGGGGAAUAUUGGACAAUGGGCGAAAGCCUGAUCCAGCAAUGCCGCGUGAGUGAUGAAGGCCUUAGGGUUGUAAAGCUCUUUUACCCGGGAUGAUAAUGACAGUACCGGGAGAAUAAGCUCCGGCUAACUCCGUG
RNAcentral lists this ribosomal RNA (433 nucleotides) under uncultured bacterium. RNAcentral's name for it is "partial 16S ribosomal RNA". It matches the Rfam family "Bacterial small subunit ribosomal RNA", at positions 29 to 507 of the family's 1533-position model. The record is from RNAcentral.